Molecule: small RNA, 26 nt
Filed under: Bombyx mori (domestic silkworm)
Lineage: Eukaryota; Metazoa; Arthropoda; Insecta; Lepidoptera; Bombycidae
Description: ovarian small RNA-38342
Source: RNAcentral
UUUCGUGAAUACGGAAUGGGAUGCGU